UUUGAGGAUUUGAUCCUGGUCCAGGACGAACGCUAGCGGCGUGCUUUAAGCAUGCAAGUGGGACGGUCGCCGUAAGGCGACAGUCGCGAACGGCUGAGUAACACGUAGGUACCUAUCCUUUGGUGGGGAAUAGUCCGCCGAAAGGCGGGGUAAUACCGCAUAACCCCGUUCGCAGAACGAGCAAUGUCACCAAUAAAUACCAAUAAUCCAAUUACAAAUGCCCAAUGUAUGAAAUGUAUUUUAAAUUUGCAUUUAAUUGGAAAUUUGAAAUUGGUACUUAUUUGAAAUUUGGCAUUUCUCGCUCUGCGAGCGAGUAAAGGGCUUAACUGCCCGCCGAUUGAGGGACCUGCGGCCUAUCAGCUUGUUGGUGGGGUAAUGGCCUACCAAGGCUACGACGGGUAGGGGGCGUGAGAGCGUGACCCCCCAGAAGGGCACUGAGAUACGGGCCGGUUGUAAACCACUUUUGACGAGACAGACAUGUCUCGUAGAAUAAGCACCGGCUAACUCCGUGCCAGCAGCAGCGGUAAUACGGAGGGUGCAAGCGUUGUCCGGAUUUAUUGGGCGUAAAGAGUUCGUAGGCGGUUAGGUAAGUCACUUUUCAAAUACCGGGGCUCAACCUCGGAAAGGGGAGU
Molecule: ribosomal RNA, 632 nt
Filed under: Microgenomates group bacterium GW2011_GWC1_37_8
Lineage: Bacteria
Description: bacterial SSU rRNA
Rfam family: Bacterial small subunit ribosomal RNA
Source: RNAcentral